This 118-nucleotide ribosomal RNA is filed under the name Salvator merianae (Argentine black and white tegu). The record is from RNAcentral. Lineage: Eukaryota; Metazoa; Chordata; Lepidosauria; Squamata; Teiidae.
UUCUGGGCCUCAGUAUUUAGUUGCUCUUCAUCAAUCUUGUCUGAUCUCAAAAGCUAAGUAGAGUCACUUCUGGUUAAUACUUGAAUGGGGAACUGCCUGGAAAUAGAUGUGUUAGAGU